This 3238-nucleotide long non-coding RNA is filed under the name Sus scrofa (pig). RNAcentral describes it as "lncRNA (ENSSSCG00065034556.1)". The record is from RNAcentral. Lineage: Eukaryota; Metazoa; Chordata; Mammalia; Artiodactyla; Suidae.
UUUUUUUUUUUUUGCUUUUUAGGGUCACACCUGCAGCAUAUGGAGCCUUAAAAUAAAUAAACAAAUAAAUAAAUAAAUAAAUAAAACAGGAGUCAUCUAACUUCCUCGGUAAAGGGCUCCACAGUAAAUGUUUUAGGCUUCACAGGCCACCUAUCUCUGACACAACUGCUCCACUCUGCUAACGUAGCAUGAAAGUGGCCAAGACAACGUGUAAAGGAAUGCAGAUGGCCAGAUUCCAAUAAAACCUCAUUCAUGGACGUUGAGUUUUGAAUUUUAUAUAUUUUAUUCUUUUGAUAUUCUCCCAUCUCUUAAAAAAUGUAAAAACCAUUCUUAGACCAUGCCCCGCCCCCCAAAAAAUGGUGAACUUCUUUGACCUCCAAACCAUCAUUUGCCAACACCUGUGUUUAUAACCAAAAAAGGUGGUAGAACUGAACACAAAUUCCUUGGCGGCUGAGGGAAAACUGGUAACAAACUAGAAAGAGAAGAAAGCUGCCAUAACUUGAGAAAGUUUAUCUACCAGAAAACGACAGCAAAUAUCACUUAAUGAAUGAAACAUAACAAACAUUUCUCACUAAUGUCAGAAAGAAAACAUGAAUGCCUGUCACUAUUUCUAUUCAACAAUAUAUUGACAAUAUAUAUAUCAGAAAGGAGCAGAAGUCACUGUUCUGGUUAUUUGAUCAUUUUCUUAAAAAAAAAAAAAAAAAAGAAGAAAGAAAAGAAAAAGAAAAAAAACUAAGAGGUGGCCCAACUGGUUAAAGAUCCAGCUUUAUCACUGCUGUGCUGUGGGUUCAAUCCCUGGCCCCAGAACUUCCACAUGCUGUGGGCAUGGCCAAAAAAAAAAAAAAAAAUAAGAGGCCAAAUAUAAAAAUUUAGAAGGUAACCUAACAGAGCUCAAUAUCCAAAAAUUAGUUUCCCUCACAGUAGCAACAGACAAUUAGACAACAUAAAUAAAAUUCAAUGGUAUCUCUGCAUAGAGAGUAUACACAUGUUGCAUUAUAUUUAUUUUAGAAACUAGGGACUUUUGACCUAUUAUAAAUGCAUCUUUUAAAAUCGUUACCAAUAUAAAGCAUAAUAUAUUAUAAAUGUGAACAAAACUUAAAAGUAAAACUCAGUGAAUUAUCAAACCUUUGAGCAACCCAAUAAUUAGGAAAAAGAAAAAAACAAUGUGCAAGAUACACAUAAACACACACGCACCCCACUCUCCAGCCCCAAACUGAAAGACUAAAAAGACUUAGAGAUGCGAUACAAUUUGAAUCAAAAUUUGAACAGGGUGUGUGUGUGUGUGUGUGUGUGUGUGUGUGUGUGUGUGCGCGCGCGCGCGCGCGCGCGCGCGCAGAAGAGCAUAAUUUAACAAUAGGAUUCUAAACUUUCUAAGGAAGCUCAAAGGGCCAAAAACAGCAAGACACUUCUAAAAAAAGAAGAUUACAGAACUUACUUUUCCAGACACCAAGAUUUACUUUAAAGCUAUUUAUAGAAGUAUGACGGUAUAAUACUGGUGCAAAGAGAAACAAGACCAAUAAAACAAAAUACAGAGAAGAAAACCAACAAAUAGACCACUGCAGAGCAGUGAGGGAAGGACUGCCUUUCCAAUAAACAGUUCUGGGAAAACAGGAUAUCUGUGUGGAAAGAAUAAAAAUGGACACCUACAGUCCUUGGGAGAUCAUAGACCUAAAUGUGAAAAGCAAAGCAAUAAAGCUUCUCAAAGAAUAUGUCUUGGAAACAGGAUUAAGAUGGCGGAAUAGAAGGACUGGAGCUCAACUUCUCUCCUAAAAGCAACAAAAUUCACAACUAAAGACUGAGCAAUCUCCACCCAAAUGGACCGGAAACCCAUAACCUACUCCAGAAGAAAAAGACGAGGCCACAUCAAGAGGUAGGAGGGGUGAUUUCAUGAUAUAAACAACCCCAUACCUCCCGGGUGGGAAGCUCCACAGACUGAAAACUAACUGGCUCACAGAGACUCACCUACAGGAGUGAGAGUUCUGAGCCCCACAUCAAACCCUCACACGCUGGGAUCUGUCACUGGGAGAAAGAGCCCCUGGAGCAUCUGGCAUUGAAGGCCAGCAGGGCUUGUGUGCAGGAACUCCACAAGACUGGGGGAAACAGAGACCCCAUUCUUAAAAGGCGCACACAGACUUUCACGUGCACUGGGUCCCAGGGCAGAGGGAGGUCUCCACAGGAACCUAGGUCAAACCUGACUGCAGUUCUUGGAGGACAUCAUGGGAAAACAGGGGUGAAUGUAGCUCAUUGUGAGAGAAGGACAUUGGGAGCAAAGCUCUCGGGAAUAUUCAGCAUCUGCCUUUCUCUGGAGGGGGCCAUUUUGGGAAAAUCUGGCCCCACCCGUCAGUCAGUGCUGAGAAGCCCCUGGGCAAACAACAAUCCAGGUGGGAUCACAGCCCCGCCCCUCAGUAAACAGGCUACCUAAAGAGCCUCAGGCACACAGCAGCCCCUAAUCCCAUCCAGAGACUAAGCCCCACCCACCAGAGGGAUUAGAAUAGGCUCCACCUACCAGUGGGCAGGCAUCAGCCCCUCCCAUCAGGAAGCCUACAGCAAGCCCCCCACAAGGGGGGCAGACACCAGAAGUAAGAGAGGCUACAGCUCUAUUAUCUAUAAAAAGGUCACCACACCAAAAACCUAUAAAAAUGAAGAGACAGAGAACUAUAACUCAGAUGAGAGAAAAACCCCAGAAAAUCAGCUAAGCAACGAGGACAUUCUCAGCCUCCAGGAAGAAGACUUUAGACUGUCAAUGCUGAAGAAGAAUAUGUCUUAUACUAUCUGUAGUCAAGUGCCACGUUUUUAAAAAUACCUAAAAUCUCAGGGAUCCAUGCUGGGUCCUCCUGCACAUGACUGGUUCGCAGCUUAAGAGGCCCGACUUGCCGCGUUGGGUUCAGUCACACCAGAACUAUCAGCAAGAUGAGUCCUCUACUCACGCACCUGCAUUCCGUGUUACGUCGCAUUACCAUAAAGGUUUCUGAACUCUUACUCUCAAUUUCUAUACUUAUCUCAUCAGGGACCAGUAAAAAACAGCUUAGAAAUAGUACAGGUCCUUGGACCACAGUUUGGUCAGCAUAGUAGUCAACAGUUCUUAAGACUGUUGAAGGUAAUAUAAGAAAAUAUCUUUAUGACCUCAGGUAGAAUGUUUUCUUAAAAUGAAUUCCAAAGGCACUAAUCAUAAGGGGAAAUACUGGGUAAGUUUUAGUACAUUAAAAUCAGGAACUGCUAAUUAAAAGAUACCAUGAAG